Long non-coding RNA from Cydia strobilella, 1930 nucleotides. RefSeq lists it as uncharacterized. The transcript is spliced from 3 exons. The record is from RefSeq and is a predicted model, not a curated record. NCBI's taxonomy places the organism in Eukaryota, Metazoa, Arthropoda, Insecta, Lepidoptera, Tortricidae.
CUGAUUUUUGUACGUCAGUGGUAAACAAGCAGACAGCUUGGACCCUUCGACUCAGUCGAAAGGCGCGCUGUACGAAUCGUCGACGAUCCCAAACUCACAAGCGGUAUUGAACCUUUAAGUCUAAGGAGAGACUUCGCCUCCUUAUGCGUGUUCUACCGCUUGUACAAUGGGCUGUGCUCUGAAGAACUGUUUGACAUGAUGCCAACGGCCGCUUUCUAUCACCGCACCGCUCGCCAUCGGCAGGGUGUUCAUCCUCACACCCUAGCACCUAAACCGGUUUAAGAGGAAUUUCCUCCCGCGUAUUACGCUUCGGCUGUGGAAUGAGCUCCCUGCCGAGGUUUUCCCGAGGGGCUACAGUAUGGGGUUCUUCAAAAAAGGAGUGUACAGAUUUUUAAAGGGUCGGCAACGCGCGUGUAAUAUCUCCGGUGUUGCAGGCGUCCAUAGGCUACGGUAACUGCUUACCAUCAAGCGGGCUGUAUGCUUGAUUGCCACCGACGUGGUAUAAAAAAAAAGCUCGCCAGGUGCAGGUUACCGUGACGUAUUGGACGUUUGAAACUUCGUAAGUGUAACAUGCGCGUUGCCGAUCCUUUAAAAUAGAGGAAAAUUAACGGAUCAGCCACAUUUAUGCUAAAAUACUACGCGCGUAACAAUUAUACCCCUUAGUCUAGUUACAUCAAUAACUUUAUUCUAAUUUGCCUAUAACUUUAGAAUGUAAGAUGUAAAGCAAAUUCACACACUAAAAAAUAUUUGAAUAAUUUGCAUAUUAUAGAUAUUAAGUUAUUAUAUGUACUACUACUUAUUAAACAUGCAUAAAUUGUUGUGAUUAACAUAAUGUUAUGAACAUAACUCAUGGAUUGUACUGCCUAAUAAUAUUGCAAGUAUUGCAACGGUGCUUUAGAUAAGUAAGUAUAAUUUACAAAUGAUUUGUUAAGCGUAAUUUAAAAACAUUUUAGACAAAGGCGUUACACGUAUAGUAACAAUACUACCUGCGGGCUUAGCAUGGUAGCGUGACAAGGCCGUGAUAGGGCGAAAUCGUGAUAGUUAUCCACAUCUGACAGCGGUAGAUGACAGAAUGACAGCGGUAGAUGACAGAAUGACAGCGGUAGACGACAGAAUGACAGCGGUAGACGACAGAAUGACAGCGGUAGAUGACAGAAUGACAGCGGUAGAUGACAGAAUGACAGCGGUAGAUGACAGGAGCUUGACAGACGACAAUUUGCAUAACAUAGUCGUUGCCGUCGUUGAUAAUUUGACACAUUGUCCCAUUUUGACAGUUCAACUUCGUUAAUUCUAUCUACGUGCUUCUUAGGUGACGAUAAGCCUUGUCGUGAAAGCAAAAUUAUUGAAUAAACCAAUUUUAAGGUAUAAAUUACGGGUAAAUAUCAGUUUUUCUAUGAUAUUGAGUUAUUAGUUACAAUGUUCCGCUGUAUAUAUAUAUUGUCAAUUUUUUCUUUGCAGGAAAGUCAAAUUUUAUUAUUCCUACUUGCGGAUGCUGUUAAAGAAAAAGAGCGUCUAAAAAUCUCGUGCAUAGCUUUAUCAAGACACUCUUACAACCCGUCUGAUAUGCCAGACGAAGAAUUUCGGGCAUUUCGCAUAUUUACAGUUAUGUGCCGAACUUAACGCCGAGCCUCAAAAGUCAAAACGGUGAUGGAUUACUAAAACACCUAAAGGUUCUAACAGGUGUAAUAACACCUGCUAGCUGAUGGCAACUAGUCCAUUGGUCAGACUACUGUGAGCCAGUAGCUAUUGAAGCAAUUUGUAAUAGCUGUAAAUAGAAGAAAACUUCUCUUGGAUCAAGGGAGAAAUUAAGGAAGGCGCUCCUCAAGGACUUCCUAAGCAUCAUGCACAAAACCGGCUGUUACUAAGAGUGUGCGCUUGCGAGUUGCUAGCGAGCUUAAUAAAUACAUACUUAUGUCGCCUAUGUUUUACU